Molecule: non-coding RNA, 23 nt
Filed under: Arabidopsis thaliana (thale cress)
Lineage: Eukaryota; Viridiplantae; Streptophyta; Magnoliopsida; Brassicales; Brassicaceae
Source: RNAcentral
UAAGGCUGCUUCGGCGAAUCUCC